UACGUAGGGUGCAAGCGUUGUCCGGAAUUAUUGGGCGUAAAGAGCUCGUAGGCGGUCUGUCGCGUCUGCUGUGAAAACUCAGGGCUUAACCCUGAGCUUGCAGUGGGUACGGGCAGACUAGAGUGCGGUAGGGGAGACUGGAAUUCCUGGUGUAGCGGUGAAAUGCGCAGAUAUCAGGAAGAACACCAACGGCGAAGGCAGCUCGCUAGGACGGUACUGACGCU
RNAcentral lists this ribosomal RNA (224 nucleotides) under uncultured bacterium. RNAcentral's name for it is "partial 16S ribosomal RNA". It matches the Rfam family "Bacterial small subunit ribosomal RNA", at positions 524 to 747 of the family's 1533-position model. The record is from RNAcentral.